AUUGAACGCUGGCGGCAUGCCUAACACAUGCAAGUCGAGCGGCAGCGCGGGGGCAACCCUGGCGGCGAGCGGCGGACGGGUGAGUAAGGCAUCGGAAUCUGCCCUGAUGUGGGGGAUAACGUAGGGAAACUUACGCUAAUACCGCAUACGACCGAGAGGUGAAAGCGGGGGACCGAAAGGCCUCGCGCAGCAGGAUGAGCCGAUGUCCGAUUAGCUAGUUGGUGGGGUAAAGGCCUACCAAGGCGACGAUCGGUAGCUGGUCUGAGAGGAUGAUCAGCCACACUGGGACUGAGACACGGCCCAGACUCCUACGGGAGGCAGCAGUGGGGAAUAUUGGACAAUGGGGGCAACCCUGAUCCAGCAAUGCCGCGUGUGUGAAGAAGGCCUUCGGGUUGUAAAGCACUUUUAUCGGGAACGAAACACCGUGGGUUAAUACCCUGCGGGACUGACGGUACCCGAGGAAUAAGCACCGGCUAACUCCGUG
RNAcentral lists this ribosomal RNA (484 nucleotides) under uncultured bacterium. Its description in RNAcentral is "bacterial SSU rRNA". It matches the Rfam family "Bacterial small subunit ribosomal RNA", at positions 29 to 507 of the family's 1533-position model. The record is from RNAcentral.